UACAUUUUCCUUAAUUUUCUUUGCAUCCAAACAUAGCCUAAGGGACUCCAAAAGUUAUCAAAUUAUGAAAAAUGGAAUCUCAAAUGCUUAAUUUUAACGUAUUUCUCUCCCUUUUUAGCUUCGAAUUUAAGGUUUUGCUUCACCUAUUCGAUCUUUAGGUUUUUUUAAAAUUUGAUGGCGGAUCGGACCUCAGCUGCUCCAAAGCCUAUAUGGAUGAAACAAGCUGAAGAGGCCAAGCUGAAAAGUGAGGCUGAAAAAGCUGCUGCUGCUAAAGCGGCUUUCGAAGCCACAUUCAAAGAUGUUGAUAAGGGCCGUAACAAGGAGGUGGUGGCAGCUUCAUCGGAUAGUGAGUCUGAGGACACCAAUGACUUGGUGGACAAACCGGUUGGACCUGUGGAUCCUGCUAAGUGCAUGGCAGCAGGACCAGGAAUAGCUGGUGGCACAGCAUGCGCAGCAUCCACCUUUAUGGUGGUAACAAAGGAUGCAGAUGGGAGGAAAGUGCAGAUUGGAGGUGCGCAGAUUAAGGUGAAAGUUUCGCCAGGUGUGGGUGUUGGGGGUGCGGAACAGGAGGGCAUUGUGAAGGAUAUGGGAGAUGGGACUUACACGGUGACUUAUGUGGUGCCCAAGAGAGGGAACUAUAUGGUGAACAUUGAGUGCAAUGGGAAACCCAUCAUGGGCAGCCCAUUCCCAGUGUUCUUUAGUGCAGGUACUUCUACUGGAGCUGUACUAGGGGUGGCGCCUGCAUCCACAUAUCCAAAUCUAGUAAAUCAAACAAUGCCCAACAUGCCAAACUACACAGGAUCUGUUUCUGGAGCUUUCCCCGGCUUGUUGGGUAUGAUCCCAGGCAUUGUUUCUGGUGCUUCAGGUGGUGCUAUUUUACCAGGAAUGGGGGCAUCUCUUGGGGAAGUUUGUCGAGAAUACCUCAAUGGCCGUUGUGCUAAAACUGAUUGCAAAUUGAACCAUCCUCCCCACAAUUUGCUGAUGACUGCUUUGGCAGCAACAACCAGCAUGGGAACUCUCAGUCAGGUUCCUAUGGCACCUUCUGCAGCUGCAAUGGCUGCUGCUCAGGCUAUUGUUGCUGCUCAGGCCCUUCAAGCUCAUGCUGCUCAGGUGCAAUCACAAACUCAGUCAACCAAAGAUUCAUCUGACUCUCCUGACAAAGCUGCAAAGGCUGAUGCAUUGAAAAAAACCCUACAAGUUAGCAAUCUUAACCCACUUCUCACAGUGGAACAGUUGAAGCAGCUUUUUAGCUUCUGUGGUACAGUUGUUGAGUGUACAAUCACUGAUUCAAAGCAUUUUGCAUACAUAGAAUAUUCAAAACCAGAGGAAGCAACGGCUGCUUUGGCAUUGAACAAUAUGGAUAUUGGUGGUCGACCAUUAAAUGUGGAAAUGGCCAAAACACUUCCUCCGAAACCUGCUAUUUCAUCCUUGACUUCUUCAUCUCUACCUUUGAUGAUGCAGCAAGCUGUUGCCAUGCAACAGAUGCAAUUCCAACAGGCUUUGCUUAUGCAACAAACAUUGACUGCUCAGCAGGCAGCUAACCGAGCUGCAAGCAUGAAGUCUGCAACAGAAUUAGCUGCAGCAAGAGCUGCAGAAAUAAGUAGGAAGCUAAAAGCUGAUGGACUUGUUACUGAAGAGAAGGAAACCAAGAGUAAGUCUAGGUCACCAUCCCCUUCUCGUGCAAGGUCAAGAUCCAAAUCAAAAUCACCCCUUAGUUAUCGGAGAAGAUCAAGAUCAAAGACUAGAUCACCAAUUAGUUAUCGGCGAAGAUCAAGGUCCAAGUCAAGAUCACCGAUCAUUUAUAGGCGAAAGUCAAGGUCAAAGUCAAGAUCACCUAUCAGUUAUAGGCGAAGGAGGAGGUCUCGCUCUUAUUCACCUCUGCCCCGUUUCCAACGAGACCGUAGGUCCAGAUCACCUGUGCGAUCUCAUCAUCGUUCAAGAUAUGAAAGUGAACGACGUUCAUAUAGAGAUAGAGAUGACAAUGACAGGAGUGGCAGACGAGAUUUGGAGAGAUCGCGUGAUCGUCAUUCAUCUAUUUCGAGGAGAAAUAGGAGUAUUAGUCCUCGAACUAGAAAAUUAACUCCUGUAGAUUCUGACUCCCCUAAACAUAGUAGAGAAAGUUCACCUAAGCUUAGGAAAUCAUCCCAUCCAGGUUCAACAUCACCAAGGCAUCACAGAAGAAAUAGGUCAUCCCCAAAGAAUGAUGAUGAAAGGAAAUUGAAAUAUAGAAAGCGCUCUAGGUCAAAGUCUGUUGAUUCGGAUAACAAAAAGAAUGAGACCCCAGAUGAAAAAACAAAGCACCGCAGUAGAAGGCGAUCCAGGUCAUUAUCUUCAGAAGGUAGACCUCAAAGAAGAAGCAGGUCUUCUUCUGCAAGUUCAGAUGAAAACAAUUCAAAACACAGAAGGCAGUCCAGAUCAAUUUCUGUAGAAGGCAAGGUUCGCUCCGGCAGUAAAAUUGAUGAAGUGAGAAAUGAUGAAUUGAGACAUGGCGAUAGAAGGCGAUCACGAUCAGGAUCUGCUGAAGGUAGGCAUUACACCAAAGAGAGGAGUGAGAGAAUCAGAGAUAAGAAAUCUAAGCAUCGGGAUAGAAGGCGGUCGAGGUCAAGAUCUGCUGAUGGCAAGCAUCGGGAUAGAAAGAGGUCAAGGUCAAGAUCUUUUGAUGGCAAGCAUCACAGAGGAAGCAGGAGGUCCCCCAGAAAUUCAGAUGAAAAUAGAUUAAAACACCGACGGCGCUCUAGGUCAAAGUCUACUGAGGGAAAACAUCGAUCCAUUGAUAAAGUAGAUGAAAGAUCAAAACGUCAUGACAAAAAGCAUUUAGCAUCUGCUGAAGCUCAGCCUCCUAGAGGAAGCAGGUCUUCACCAAGAAGUUCUGAAGACAAUGAUUCGAGGCACAGAAGGCAUUCAAGGCCAAAGUCAGCUGAAGGGGAUGAUGGAAUGCUGGUUUCAAAAGAGGAGGCUUAUGACACGAAAGUUUCAGUGAAUGAUGAUCAGGAGCUGAGAAGCAAAUAUUUACCAAUAUUUGACAGUGAUGAAGGGUACUCACCAAAUAGCAAAUUGAAUGCAGAUGAACCAGACAGACUUGAAAGAUCAAGUAGUAAGCAGUGGCUUGGUAGUAAUGGGUCAGGAGAUCAAUCCAUUUCUCCUCGUCAGAAAUGAGCCGUGGGCUUAAUGUGUUACUGAACCUUGGGGAUUUUUUAGACUAAAGCUGUUCCAAGCUGUCUGACUCAGUCUCCACUUUACCCUUUGAUCAAUUCAAGCUUGUUCAGAUAUGAACAAGCUAUUAAGAUCUAUGAGAGCUUUUGGCUCCUAUAUGAACAGCAGUUCACUUAAGACAUUGCUUAGUGUUUCUUUUGGUGUUUGGAUUUUUCAGACAAUUGUUGUUUCUUCAUAAAUGUACGCCAUUGUGCUCUUUUAUCCUUUGCAGGCAUGUGGAACAGAUUGGCAUUGAAGUCUUUGAGCUCACAUUUACAAUGGAUAAAGUAUUUCAAGCAGUGUUCUGCUUUCUUCUGCAAUCAACCAUGCAAUGUUUGUAGCAGGGCUCUUUUACUGCUAGAUGUUUAUUCACGGUGUUCCUGUUGGACCUGUCAGUGAUCAGUUUGGAGGGUUGAUUUUUAACUUUAUCUAUGUGAAGGAAAAUUCUUUUCCAAAGCUACUUUAAGGUCCUGUGUAACCAGACUCCGCGGGGAUGAAUAGCGUCUAUAUUUGAGCCCCAUAGCCAGAUUGGUUGAUCAUAAAAAUAAUUUCGUGGUUUAUUCACAGAUUUUUUUUUUCUUUUUCCUCUCCCACCCCCUUUUUUUUGGCUUGUAUUUUUGUUCUAGGAGGCAUGGAUAUGGUGGUAUAAGAGCGCAGCCUUGAUGUCAAACACUGGAAAUUGUUGAGUUAGCAUGCAGCACUAUAUUUACUUGGAUUCAUGUGUGCGUGAUUGAUACUAAUAUUUUUCUAACAUGACUGUUCAAUUUUUUCAUUUUCAUGGUUUGGAGAGUUUAGAGGGUAUAUUUCAAGAAAAAUGAAGAGUCAAAGCAAUAUUUUAGUUAUUUUUUUAAACGUGUUUGGAUGGCCUUUAGAGGAUAUCUGGGAACAUGUGUGGAAUGCGAUGAAGCAGACAUCAAAACGAUGCUGCAUUUAAGAUAAUUUUUUAACCUAA
This is an RNA transcript of Gossypium raimondii (Peruvian cotton), 4144 nucleotides long. RefSeq lists it as uncharacterized. NCBI's taxonomy places the organism in Eukaryota, Viridiplantae, Streptophyta, Magnoliopsida, Malvales, Malvaceae. The transcript is spliced from 10 exons. The record is from RefSeq and is a predicted model, not a curated record.